UGAAGAGGAGCUCGCGUCCGAUUAGCUAGUUGGUGGGGUAAGAGCCUACCAAGGCAGCGAUCGGUAGCUGGUCUGAGAGGAUGAGCAGCCACACUGGGACUGAGACACGGCCCAGACUCCUACGGGAGGCAGCAGUGGGGAAUUUUCCGCAAUGGGCGAAAGCCUGACGGAGCAAUACCGCGUGAGGGAGGAAGGCUUUUGGGUUGUAAACCUCUUUUCUCAAGGAAGAAGCCAGUGACGGUACUUGAGGAAUCAGCAUCGGCUAACUCCGUGCCAGCAGCCGCGGUAAUACGGAGGAUGCAAGCGUUAUCCGGAAUCAUUGGGCGUAAAGCGUCCGCAGGUGGCCGGUCAAGUCUGCUGUCAAAGACUAGAGCUCAACUCUGGAAAGGCGGUGGAAACUGGUAGGCUAGAGUACGGUAGGGGUAGAGGGAAUUCCCAGUGUAGCGGUGAAAUGCGUAGAUAUUGG
RNAcentral lists this ribosomal RNA (466 nucleotides) under Dermocarpella sp. HSC2. RNAcentral's name for it is "bacterial SSU rRNA". It matches the Rfam family "Bacterial small subunit ribosomal RNA", at positions 220 to 700 of the family's 1533-position model. Lineage: Bacteria; Bacillati; Cyanobacteriota; Cyanophyceae; Pleurocapsales; Dermocarpellaceae. The record is from RNAcentral.